AACGAACGCUGGCGGCAUGCCUAACACAUGCAAGUCGAACGCCCCGCAAGGGGAGUGGCGAACGGGUGAGUAACGCGUGGGAACCUACCCAGCAGUUGGGGAUAACCGCGGGAAACUGCGGCUAAUACCGAAUACGUCCUAAGGGAGAAAGAUUUAUCGCUGUUGGAGGGGCCCGCGUCGGAUUAGCUAGGUGGUGAGGUAACGGCUCUCCAAGGCGACGAUCCGUAGCUGGUCUGAGAGGAUGAUCAGCCACACUGGGACUUAGACACGGCCCAGACUCCUACGGGAGGCAGCAGUGGGGAAUAUUGGACAAUGGGGGCAACCCUGAUCCAGCAAUGCCGCGUGAGUGAUGAAGGCCUUAGGGUUGUAAAGCUCUUUUACCGGGGACGAUGAUGACGGUACCCGGAGAAUAAGCCCCGGCUAACUUCGUGCCAGCCGCCGCAGUAA
Molecule: ribosomal RNA, 447 nt
Filed under: uncultured bacterium
Lineage: Bacteria
Description: partial 16S ribosomal RNA
Rfam family: Bacterial small subunit ribosomal RNA
Source: RNAcentral